This 278-nucleotide ribosomal RNA is filed under the name Trypanosoma cruzi. RNAcentral describes it as "partial 12S ribosomal RNA". It matches the Rfam family "Trypanosomatid mitochondrial large subunit ribosomal RNA", at positions 28 to 473 of the family's 561-position model. The record is from RNAcentral. Lineage: Eukaryota; Euglenozoa; Kinetoplastea; Trypanosomatida; Trypanosomatidae.
GUCUAAGAAAUAUAUUUAAGAGUAUUCUUGUAUAUAUAUUUAUAAAUUAAUAAUUCUAAAAAUAAAAUAAAGCUUCCUCGAAAAUAAAAUUUUAGUAGCAUAGUAAUUUAUUAACUAAUUAUUAAAGUGUUCCACAGAAAUUUUUUAAAUUAAAACAAAAAAAAUAAUUUAUGAAUUAAAAUAAAAAUUUUAAUAAAAAUUAAAUAAUUAAAAUAGGGCAAGUCCUACUCUCCUUUACAAAGAGAACGUUUCAAUAAUACGUAUAAAAUCGUUGUAAA